AAGCGCGCGUAGGUGGAUAUUUAAGUCGAAUGUGAAAGCCCUAGGCUUAACCUAGGAAUUGCAUCCGAUACUAAAUAUCUAGAGUAUGGUAGAGGGAAGUGGAAUUUCCGGUGUAGCGGUGAAAUGCGUAGAUAUCGGAAAGAACACCAGUGGCGAAGGCGGCUUCCUAGACCAAUACUGACACUGAGGUGCGAAAGCGUGGGGAGCAAACAGGAUUAGAGACCCUGGUAGUCCACGCCGUCAACGAUGAGAACUAGCUGUUAAAAAGUUUACUUUCUAGUAGCAAAGCUAACGCGUUAAGUUCUCCGCCUGGGGAGUACGGCCGCAAGGUUAAAACUCAAAGAAAUUGACGGGGGCCCGCACAAGCG
This 368-nucleotide ribosomal RNA is filed under the name Coxiella-like endosymbiont of Haemaphysalis bispinosa. RNAcentral describes it as "bacterial SSU rRNA". It matches the Rfam family "Bacterial small subunit ribosomal RNA", at positions 563 to 931 of the family's 1533-position model. Lineage: Bacteria; Pseudomonadati; Pseudomonadota; Gammaproteobacteria; Legionellales; Coxiellaceae. The record is from RNAcentral.